Molecule: non-coding RNA, 180 nt
Filed under: Ilyobacter polytropus
Lineage: Bacteria; Fusobacteriati; Fusobacteriota; Fusobacteriia; Fusobacteriales; Fusobacteriaceae
Also listed under: 1 other name
Source: RNAcentral
AAGUGAAUACAUUUUUAAGGUUUUCCAACUUUGGAAUUAAAAGGGAAGAGGAGUGAAAGACUCCCGCGGUCCCGCCACUGUAAUGCAGACGAAGGCAAAUUACCCACUGGAUUAAAAUCUGGGAAGGGUGCUAGUAGGAUGAAGCUGAGCCAGGAGACCUGCCUUAAAAAUAAUAUUGUC